RNAcentral lists this small nuclear RNA (278 nucleotides) under Panthera tigris altaica (Amur tiger). RNAcentral describes it as "7SK RNA (ENSPTIG00000000735.1)". It matches the Rfam family "7SK RNA", at positions 1 to 287 of the family's 331-position model. From Rfam's summary of the family: 7SK was discovered as an abundant small nuclear RNA in the mid-70s but a possible function has only recently been suggested. Lineage: Eukaryota; Metazoa; Chordata; Mammalia; Carnivora; Felidae. The record is from RNAcentral.
GGACGUGCGGGCGAUCUGUCUGCGACAUCUGUCACCCCAUCGAUCGCCAGGGUUGAUUCGGCUGAUCUGGCUGGCUAGGCGGGUGUCCCUUUCCUCCCUCACCGCUCCAUGUGCAUCCCUCCCGAAGCUGUGUGCUCUGUCAAAGAGGAUGAGCUUCCCCGAUAGAGGACUGUUCUUCGGUCAAGGGUAUACGAGUAGCUGCGCUCCCCUGCUAGAACCUCCAAACAAGCUCUCAAACUUCACAUGGUUAAAACUGAGCUUAUUUUGUGCAACACCUG